ACGGGAGGCAGCAGUGGGGAAUAUUGGGCAAUGGGCGAAAGCCUGGCCCAGCAACGCCGCGUGAAGGAAGAAGGUUUUCGGAUUGUAAACUUCUUUUAUCAGGGACGAAGAAUGUGACGGUACCUGAUGAAUAAGCCACGGCUAACUACGUGCCAGCAGCCGCGGUAAUACGUAGGUGGCAAGCGUUAUCCGGAUUUACUGGGUGUAAAGGGCGCGUAGGCGGGGAUGCAAGUCAGAUGUGAAAUCCAUGGGCUUAACCCAUGAACUGCAUUUGAAACUGUAUUUCUUGAGUGUCGGAGAGGUAGACGGAAUUCCUAGUGUAGCGGUGAAAUGCGUAGAUAUUAGGAGGAACACCAGUGGCGAAGGCGGUCUACUGGACGAUAACUGACGCUGAGGCGCGAAAGCGUGGGGAGCAAACAGGAUUAGAUACCCUGGUA
This 437-nucleotide ribosomal RNA is filed under the name uncultured Oscillospiraceae bacterium. RNAcentral describes it as "partial 16S ribosomal RNA". It matches the Rfam family "Bacterial small subunit ribosomal RNA", at positions 341 to 792 of the family's 1533-position model. Lineage: Bacteria; Bacillati; Bacillota; Clostridia; Eubacteriales; Oscillospiraceae. The record is from RNAcentral.